CAGAUAAUAGUUUAUUAUACAAAACAUGAAUUUUGGAGAUUCAAAAAUAAAAUCUGAUUUUUAUUGCCUCU
RNAcentral lists this transfer RNA (71 nucleotides) under Trichuris suis (pig whipworm). RNAcentral describes it as "tRNA-Pro". Lineage: Eukaryota; Metazoa; Nematoda; Enoplea; Trichinellida; Trichuridae. The record is from RNAcentral.